CAGAACUCGAAGUCCCAGCAUCCCUAAAGAAAUAAAAAAAAAGUCAUCUUUCUCCUGAUUUUCAUUGCUGAUUCAAGUUGCAGUAAAACAAGUUAUGGGGCAAAGAAAUGACAAAAAUGAAAGCCUGAAUAGCGUUUCAUGUGUUUGUACAAAGUCAACAACGGAAGCGGCAAAUCUGAAACCUUCACAACCACCUACAGAAACUUUGAAAACCGCACACAAUGAGAACUCGCCACAGUUACAAAUGGGAAAAAAACAAGUGGAGGAUAUGCGUUUUAUGAUUUCAUGUACUAAUUGGUACUGAGCAAUAAAUGUGUUUAACAUAGCCACAGAUUGAGUAUUAAAUUAUAUAUUCUUUAAAACUGUA
This is a long non-coding RNA of Bombina bombina (fire-bellied toad), 367 nucleotides long. RefSeq lists it as uncharacterized. The transcript has 2 exons. The record is from RefSeq and is a predicted model, not a curated record. Lineage: Eukaryota; Metazoa; Chordata; Amphibia; Anura; Bombinatoridae.